Molecule: ribosomal RNA, 829 nt
Filed under: Paramicrothecium sambuci
Lineage: Eukaryota; Fungi; Ascomycota; Sordariomycetes; Coronophorales; Ceratostomataceae
Description: partial large subunit ribosomal RNA
Rfam family: Eukaryotic large subunit ribosomal RNA
Source: RNAcentral
AGUAACGGCGAGUGAAGCGGCAGCAGCCCAGAUUUGGAAUCCGGCCCCCCUGCGGGGCCCGAGUUGUAAUCUGCAGAGGAAGCGUCUGGCGCGGCGCCGGCCUAGUUCCCUGGAACGGGACGCCGUAGAGGGUGACAGCCCCGUACGGUCGGCCGCCAAGCCUGUGUGUCGCUCCUUCGAGGAGUCGCGUAGUUUGGGAAUGCUGCGCAAAGCGGGAGGUAUGCUCCUCCUAAGGCUAAAUACUGGCCAGAGACCGAUAGCGCACAAGUAGAGUGAUCGAAAGAUGAAAAGCACCUUGAAAAUGGGGUUAAACAGUACGUGAAAUUGCCAAAGGGGAAGCGCUCGUGGCCAGACUCGGGCCAGGCGGAUCAUCCGGCAUCCCCGCCGGUGCACUCCGCCGGGCCCGGGCCAGCGUCGGUCGGCGCCGGUGCUGAAAGGCGGCGUGAACGUAGCUCCCCCCGGGGAGUGUUAUAGCACGCCGCGUAAUGCGCUGGCGCCGUCCGAGGACCGCGCUCUUGCAAGGACGCUGGCGUAAUGGCCACUAGCGGCCCGUCUUGAAACACGGACCAAGGAGUCGCCCAGAGGCGCGAGUGUGCGGGUGACAAACCCCUGCGCGUAGUGAAAGCGAACGCUGGUGGGAGCCCCUUGCGGGCGCACCACCGACCGAUCCUGAUGUCUUCGGAUGGAUUUGAGUAGGAGCGUCUCUGGUCGGACCCGAAAGAGGGUGAACUAUGCUUGGGUAGGGUGAAGCCAGAGGAAACUCUGGUGGAGGCCCCGUUUGGGUUCUGACGUGCAAAUCGAUCCAUAAACCUGGGCAUAGCGGCGAAAG